CGAGCGGAACGAUGAUAGCUUGCUAUCAGGCGUCGAGCGGCGGACGGGUGAGUAAUACUUAGGAAUCUACCUAGUAGUGGGGGAUAGCUCGGGGAAACUCGAAUUAAUACCGCAUACGACCUACGGGAGAAAGGGGGCAACUUGUUGCUCUCGCUAUUAGAUGAGCCUAAGUCGGAUUAGCUAGAUGGUGGGGUAAAGGCCUACCAUGGCGACGAUCUGUAGCUGGUCUGAGAGGAUGAUCAGCCACACCGGGACUGAGACACGGCCCGGACUCCUACGGGAGGCAGCAGUGGGGAAUAUUGGACAAUGGGGGCAACCCUGAUCCAGCCAUGCCGCGUGUGUGAAGAAGGCCUUUUGGUUGUAAAGCACUUUAAGCAGUGAAGAAGACUCCAUGGUUAAUACCCAUGGACGAUGACAUUAGCUGCAGAAUAAGCACCGGCUAACUCUGUGCCAGCAGCCGCGGUAAUACAGAGGGUGCAAGCGUUAAUCGGAAUUACUGGGCGUAAAGCGAGCGUAGGUGGCUUGAUAAGUCAGAUGUGAAAGCCCCGGGCUUAACCUGGGAACGGCAUCUGAUACUGUUAGGCUAGAGUAGGUGAGAGGAAGGUAGAAUUCCAGGUGUAGCGGUGAAAUGCGUAGAGAUCUGGAGGAAUACCGAUGGCGAAGGCAGCCUUCUGGCAUCAUACUGACACUGAGGUUCGAAAGCGUGGGUAGCAAACAGGAUUAGAUACCCUGGUAGUCCACGCCGUAAACGAUGUCUACUAGUCGUUGGGUCCCUUGAGGACUUAGUGACGCAGCUAACGCAAUAAGUAGACCGCCUGGGGAGUACGGCCGCAAGGUUAAAACUCAAAUGAAUUGACGGGGGCCCGCACAAGCGGUGGAGCAUGUGGUUUAAUUCGAUGCAACGCGAAGAACCUUACCUGGUCUUGACAUAUCUAGAAUCCUGCAGAGAUGCGGGAGUGCCUUCGGGAAUUAGAAUACAGGUGCUGCAUGGCUGUCGUCAGCUCGUGUCGUGAGAUGUUG
RNAcentral lists this ribosomal RNA (1020 nucleotides) under Psychrobacter sp. EST6R2A. RNAcentral's name for it is "bacterial SSU rRNA". It matches the Rfam family "Bacterial small subunit ribosomal RNA", at positions 63 to 1077 of the family's 1533-position model. The record is from RNAcentral. Lineage: Bacteria; Pseudomonadati; Pseudomonadota; Gammaproteobacteria; Moraxellales; Moraxellaceae.